This is a long non-coding RNA of Drosophila elegans, 349 nucleotides long. RefSeq lists it as uncharacterized. The record is from RefSeq and is a predicted model, not a curated record. Lineage: Eukaryota; Metazoa; Arthropoda; Insecta; Diptera; Drosophilidae. The transcript has 2 exons.
UUAAUAUUUUUUAUACGUACGUAAAGCCGUAUAUCGCCCAAAAUUUGACGUGUCCCAUAAGGGCAAACGAAGUCUUGAAACUGGAAAAUUUUGAAUUUGAUAUAAAUUAAUUUCGAAACCGUUUUCCCAUCGAAACGGGAGAGUAUGCUGUGCAUACGAGUUUGUAUAGCCGCAAGAAACUAUUUCUGCUUAUGAAAACUACGUUGGAGUACUCCAACUAUAGAGAAAACUAAGGAAUGUCAAAAUCUGGAAUAAAAAAACAGAUGUAGUACGCUGUAAGCUUUCGCCCUCUAGCAGAACAAAAAUAUAUCACAAUAUGCUGAAAAAUUAGUUCCGUAUCCAAAAGUAA